GACGAGGGGUCCUAGCGUUGUUCGGAAUUACUGGGCGUAAAGCGCAUGUAGGCGGCUUGAUAAGUCGGGUGUGAAAUCCCUGGGCUCAACCCAGGACGUGCACUCGAUACUGCCAAGCUUGAGUAUGGGAGAGGGUAGUAGAAUUCCUGGUGUAGUGGUGAAAUACGUAGAUAUCAGGAGGAAUACCGGUGGCGAAGGCGGCUGCCUGGCCCAAUACUGACGUUGAGAUGCGAAAGCGUGGGGAGCAAACAGG
RNAcentral lists this ribosomal RNA (253 nucleotides) under uncultured bacterium. Its description in RNAcentral is "partial 16S ribosomal RNA". It matches the Rfam family "Bacterial small subunit ribosomal RNA", at positions 524 to 776 of the family's 1533-position model. The record is from RNAcentral.